GAUGAACGCUAGCGGCAGGCUUAAUACAUGCAAGUCGAACGGGAUUUAGGAGCUUGCUUCUAAUGAGAGUGGCGCACGGGUGAGUAACACGUACACAAUCUACCUUGUACAGGGGGAUAGCCUUGGGAAACUGAGAAUAAUACCCCAUAGUUUUAAUUUAUCGCAUGAUAGAUUAAAUAAAGCUGAGGCGGUACAAGAUGAGUGUGCGGAUGAUUAGGUAGUUGGUAGGGUAACGGCCUACCAAGCCGACGAUCAAUAGCUGGCGUGAGAGCGCGACCAGCCAUGAUCAAACUCU
RNAcentral lists this ribosomal RNA (295 nucleotides) under uncultured bacterium. RNAcentral describes it as "partial 16S ribosomal RNA". It matches the Rfam family "Bacterial small subunit ribosomal RNA", at positions 28 to 322 of the family's 1533-position model. The record is from RNAcentral.